GGGCCAUAGCUCAGUGGCAGGGCAUCAUCUUUGCAUGCCAAAGGUCCCUGGUUCCAUCCCUGGCAUCUCCA
Molecule: non-coding RNA, 71 nt
Organism: Podarcis lilfordi (Lilford's wall lizard)
Lineage: Eukaryota; Metazoa; Chordata; Lepidosauria; Squamata; Lacertidae
Source: the annotation of a GenBank genome assembly